UGCGGCAAGGAUCGCCACCCACCAGCGCGUUGCGCCCGUGGGUGCCAUACUG
Molecule: small RNA, 52 nt
Filed under: Roseinatronobacter thiooxidans
Lineage: Bacteria; Pseudomonadati; Pseudomonadota; Alphaproteobacteria; Rhodobacterales; Paracoccaceae
Description: ffh sRNA
Rfam family: ffh sRNA
Source: RNAcentral